Long non-coding RNA from Amphiprion ocellaris (clown anemonefish), 330 nucleotides. RefSeq lists it as uncharacterized. Lineage: Eukaryota; Metazoa; Chordata; Actinopteri; Pomacentridae. The transcript has 3 exons. The record is from RefSeq and is a predicted model, not a curated record.
GCGACACGCCCCCCUGAGGGGGCUGAUCUUAGACCUCACUCAUGUGGAUGACAGCUGGACUUCGGUGUGACAGAGACAGUAAAGAAUGAAGAGGAAGGGAACCACCAGCAGCUUUUCCCAGCCUAAAAGAAGAGAGGAGGAAGAACAUCCCAGAGAGGAGAUGGAGGAGGAAGAGUUCAGAGAGAGAAAGAAAUGAAGGCAUGCAGAGCUCAGACAGUGAAAGAUCUGCCCCUGCUCUGGCAUCACCAGUACCUUAAAUCCAGGAAGUGCUCGGCGGCUCGGUUUCCAAACACCUGGAUGGAGGGUCAGAACGAAGGGACAAAGAAAAUG